CGGCAUCACGUCARCCCAGCCCUUCAGGGCAGCAUGCCUGUGUGAAUCAGUGUGUUCACACWGCCUGCACCUUGCAAUAACAGGAGGAAGUCCAAGAGGACAAGAGAGAUAACAAGGCAGAAGGUGAUCCACACCCUGGAGAACUUGUUUAUUGUUUGUAUCCUGACUUAUGAAAAUGUUUGCACACAAAGAAAAGAAACUCACUGGGGCCUGGCUUCAUAGAAGCAAGUGGUGAUUUCACUAAAAAAAAUGGAUCUCAGCUCCCCAGGCAAACCUACAAACAAGGCAGGAGUUCUGGGGAAGUUAAUGAGUUGCGUGCAGCGUGUUAGUCUCUUUGAAGAGCCAGGUGACUGAGGAUUUGAUUUCAGUUUGAGGUUUCAGGUUUGGAUUGGGUUUUCCCCCGGAACCAGGAGAACAGGCUGUAAUGAACACCUGAGCUUGUCCUGAGGUCUGAGCUGCAGCUCAAGACAGAUCUUUGGAAGGGAUCUGCCUUAUGGUCUAUGCUGUGUCAAGUAAAGACAGGCUAUCAUCUCUGAAACUUCCAGGGAAAAAAGGGAAAAUCAAAGCACCUUAGAGGUGAACUUUGCAAAGGAUUGAAUAAGGUCAGCCUGCACUUUUCGUCUCAUGGCCUAUAAUAUCUCAACAUUCUAAGAAUUYGUUGUGGGUCUAUCAGGAAACUGAGAUCUAUUUCAGCCAAGAAGGAAGCAGCAUGCUGGAAAUUUUGAGGUCUGGAAGUUCUAAUAUCAUUUCUUUAGAGCAAAUCUGACCAGGCCUUGAAGUUUCUUGCUUAAUCUCAUGCUGUCUCCUUGCUGAAGACUCCAGUUUAGAACUCACUGGUUCACAAUUGAGCUGUGAAAGGGCAAGCUUGGGAGUUCAAUCUUGGCACACAUGCUUGGGCACACAGAGCGCUUGCAAAGGUUUGAACUGUCCUGGCGGGCAGGGGAAGAGAAGCUCUUCCACACCAUGAUGUUUGAUGCCACAGGCACCUGAACUAGGUWGGGAGGGCAGUAGCUGCAGUCUGGUUGGCCUGCCUGGCCCAAGUGUUCUCUUCCAUAUGGAAUGCACAUUGCCUUGUGCCUUCCUGGGCAGUGCAGGACAGGAUUCACACAGGGGACUGGCUCCCUUCCUGCCUGGACCCCUUUUGUCUUCUGAGUUGCUCCAUUAUGUGUUUACACCACCACAGAGAAUCUUAGAAACUCAUUUUGUUCAAAUGGCAGACUUAGAAUAGUCUUCCAGCACAGUCUCAACCAUUUGCAGGAUUACACCAAAACAUAUUUUUUUUUCUGCUAGGCCAAAGUUCAUUAUCUCAUAUUAGAAAAAGGGUGAGACAGAUGCUCUCUGCAAACAUAUUUAAUAAAGCCCCUUGAUUGCUCUGAAUUAUGUAUGGUAAUUAUCUUGUUAUAUAAUUAGAAGCUCUUAUAUAUACUCUCCUUAAACUUGUUGCUUUGAUGUUGCACUUAGGCGUCUGUAUUACUUUGUGGGAUAUAAUCCAAAGCUGUCUGGAUGCAUUCCAAGAUUACUAAUGCAUAGGCAUAUUUGCAAAACAGGACUUUUAAAGUUAAGCAAACAUGGGAAAAAAUUUUUUUUCCUGGCACUCUGUGUAAAGUUUUGGAGUUUAACACCUUGAUUUGCACAGUAAUUUUUGCCAGAUUUGUUCAAUAAUCAGUGAUACUUGCAAACAGUUUUCUUUUCUCCAGUUGGGAAAAAAAAACAAA
Long non-coding RNA from Malurus melanocephalus (red-backed fairy wren), 1715 nucleotides. RefSeq lists it as uncharacterized. NCBI's taxonomy places the organism in Eukaryota, Metazoa, Chordata, Aves, Passeriformes, Maluridae. The transcript has 2 exons. The record is from RefSeq and is a predicted model, not a curated record.